AACUGGUUAGCUUAGACAGUAAAGAAUCUGCCUGCAAUGCAGAAGACCCAGGUUCAAUCCCUGGGUUG
Bos taurus (domestic cattle) is the source of this 68-nucleotide non-coding RNA. The record is from Rfam. Lineage: Eukaryota; Metazoa; Chordata; Mammalia; Artiodactyla; Bovidae.